Molecule: non-coding RNA, 656 nt
Organism: Cyanistes caeruleus (blue tit)
Lineage: Eukaryota; Metazoa; Chordata; Aves; Passeriformes; Paridae
Source: RefSeq, a predicted model, not a curated record
CAUUGCACAGACUUAAUUGUCUUGUGUCAUAGUCCCUAGAAUACCCCUCCUAGCUCCCAGCUGCCUGUCCAGAAGGCCUUGGAGCAGGCCUCCUACAAGCCUGUACAGCACCUAUGAGUCCAUGAAGAUGUCCCAGAUCCUCUACAGCACAUCUCAGAAGCCAUUAUAUGUUCAGCUUGGAUUUGGUAAAGCAAAGAGACAAACAGAAGUAUGAGAGCGGCAAGAUAUGAGAAACUUGUUAACUGAAAGGAGAGAAGCUUGAAGGAAGCAUGAAGAUAACAAGGUGAUUAAGAAGCAUGACAGAAGGGACCAGAGAACUAGGGAGAAGCAGAAAGCCAGGCACAAAGACAGGGGGAAAAAAAGCCACACAGAAAGCAGGUCAGGACCAGGAGUUCACAAGGCAACCAAAAGCAGGUGGGGUUUUCUCUGACAAAGCAAGAGCCUAAGUGACUGACCCACUCUUAUUUAUUAGCAUCCUGACAGAGGGACACCCAGCACCUGCAACCUGGCCUAGCUAGACCCUGGGCACUGAAUCACUUCUUCCUAUGCUUCAAUCACCACUGAAAGAGCAAAUCACACUGUACCUGAACUCAAUCCCACUAAAGCCAAGGAAAAGGCUGCUGCUUCAAAUUACAAUUAAUAAAAUCUGAAAUGCA